CCUACGGGAGGCAGCAGUGAGGAAUAUUGGUCAAUGGACGAGAGUCUGAACCAGCCAAGUAGCGUGAAGGAUGACUGCCCUAUGGGUUGUAAACUUCUUUUAUAUGGGAAUAAAACGUUCCACGUGUGGGAUUUUGUAUGUACCAUAUGAAUAAGGAUCGGCUAACUCCGUGCCAGCAGCCGCGGUAAUACGGAGGAGCCGAGCGUUAUCCGGAUUUAUUGGGUUUAAAGGGAGCGUAGGUGGAUUGUUAAGUCAGUUGUGAAAGUUUGCGGCUCAACCGUAAAAUUGCAGUUGAAACUGGCAGUCUUGAGUACAGUAGAGGUGGGCGGAAUUCGUGGUGUAGCGGUGAAAUGCUUAGAUAUCACGAAGAACUCCUAUUGCGAAGGCAGUUCACUGGACUGCAACUGACACUGAGGCUCGAAAGUGUGGGUAUCAAACAGGAUUAGAUACCCGUGUAGUC
This 460-nucleotide ribosomal RNA is filed under the name uncultured bacterium. RNAcentral's name for it is "partial 16S ribosomal RNA". It matches the Rfam family "Bacterial small subunit ribosomal RNA", at positions 338 to 795 of the family's 1533-position model. The record is from RNAcentral.